AUUGCUACGAGGCAGCACAGAAGUAAAGCACGCACCUCCUUCUCGCGCCAAAGUCUCACACCGUGAUACUCUUGCCUUUCGCAGGUACUCGAACACUGCAAGCAGGGAGCGUGAGGUAAGAAGGCAACGAACGAAGUAAAGAGAAACUCGGCAACACUACCGCACACAGACGCACCCACGUACACACUCUCGCAAGCUUCAAGGCCGAGCGCGAGCGCGCACACAGAGCAAGUAGGAGACACGUGUGCACAGAGAGGGAGCUGGCGGCCGCCUCUUGCUUUUUUCGCGUUCUUUUCUUUUGUCGGUUCCCUGCCGCCUUGUCUAAUCGUGUGAAGUUGUCGGGAGUCCUUUGCUCACGUGUGCGUCUGUCAGCGACUGCCCCCUACCCUGCCCUGCCUUGUCGCUUCCUCUCGCGCGCUCCGGUCUACGACCCCGCCUCGCAUAAGCUUGUUUUCUUUUCCGGUGUGUUACGUCGUCUCUGUGACUGUGCGAGCGAUUAGGCGCGUAUCUGCUUCUGUCGUGUGUGUCUGUGCAUAAAGCUGGCCACCCCCUCCUUCACUGCCUCUCCGUCACGCAUACACACACGCGUGGAAGUCCCGCGAACAACAGCGUUGCUCGCUGGCUCGGUUCUCUCUCUUCGCUUCUUCGUCUGCCCUGUUGACAGCUUAAAUUCACACCCCUCUCCUCUCUUCACCACCUUUUAGAUCCUUCACCACCAUCUCCCCUCCCCCCUCUCCUUCUCCUCAAACCCUCUCUGUACAUACGUGUAUACACGUAUGUGUUGGAGCUCGCCGUUUCGGUUCAUCUUCCCUCUUCUCUUUGUUGUUUGCUUCGUAUUGUCUCUUGCCGUUUUCCGUUUUCCUUUUUUUCGUUUGGUACUUUACACACCGCACGUUAGAUCCCUCUUCUCUCUCUCCUGUGCACGUCGUCGCCCUUCGCAUUCUCCAGUACGCACGCGCUGACAGGCUUCGCUUUUUUUCUUCAUUUUGUGCAUGUGUGUGCGUGUGUGUGUGUGCAGAUUUCUAAGUAGAAGAUCCCGUGGAGAGGGUGCACAUAGGAGCCGCACGCUUGAUUAGGGGAGUCCAACAGAGGUGCUCGAGUUAUCUGUCUGAGGUUUCAUCACCGUAGUUGCCUUCCCCUUAUCCCACCCACUUCCUCUUCCUCUUCACUGUUCAUUCGUGCCAGAUACAGUACUUGAUACACGCGCGGCGUGACAUAGACAGAGAGACGGCAGCCCCUCUUCGCCCGACGCCUCACGCCACGACACCAGUUCUUGUAUCCCUGCUUUGCCUUUGCUGACAGUCAACGCGUUUUCGUUUCGCCAUUUGUUCUCUUGUCUGCUGCUGUGCGUGAGCGCGUGCGAGACAGCAUGGCCGCCCUUCGUGAGGUGUCGAACCUCGCCAGCAACCUCGGCGCCGACAUCAAGCAGCGUCAACAGAACUGCCGCGUUGACCCCAACAACAAUGGCUUCUCCGGCGCCUCAUUUCUUAAUCAAGACAGCCUCCACCGAGGUUCACAGCAGGAGCAGCAACUUUCUCAGCGCUUGACGGCAGCAAGCAGCUUCUCUGCGGUGACGUCGCACUCCAUGCACAGUUUGGUGGUGCGAAGGGGCGACAGCGAGUCUCACAUCCACGCCCGACGCACAAACGUGAUUGUGCCUCAGCGAACCAGUCGCGCCCUAUCCGGCUCAUGCGCAGACGCCCGUCAUGCACAGGAGCCGACGUACUGCACGGAUUUGAUUGGCGACAUCACCGACAUGUUCGUGGAACGAGAGCGGCAGGCGGUGGCGCGCUUCAACGAAGGAAACGCGAGCAAUGAGCCAACGAACACGAGUACCCUGUACGCCUACUACGCGUCCCCGCGGUACCUGCAGCACCAGCCCGAAAUCAACGAGAAAAUGCGUAUGAUCCUCGUAGAUUGGCUGAUCGAUGUGCACCUCAAGUUCAAGCUGCACGCAGAGACCAUGUAUCUUGCCGUCAACCUUAUCGACCGCUAUCUUUCCUGCGCCAACAACAAGGUAGACCGAACCACGUUCGUACCACGCGCGCAGCUGCAGCUUGUCGGCGUCUGCGCCAUGCUUCUGGCGGCCAAGUACGAGGAGAUCUGGCCACCAGAGGUGAAGGAGUGCGUGCACAUCAGCGCCAACACAUACACUCGCGAGGAGAUUAUCCAGAUGGAGCGCGCCAUCUGCACCGCGCUGUCGUUCCGGCUGACUGUUCCGACGCCCUUCCCGUUCGCCUCGCGCGCGUGGACGGUGCUGGAGGGAGACGACUUCCUCGGCAUUGGCACGGACGAGGAGCAGCGUCGCCAGUACUUCGCGAUUGUGCGCCACGCCACAAGCUUCUUUAUGGAGCAUGCGCUACUGGACUACAAGUGUCUUCAGUUCACCCCGUCGCAGAUUGCCCAUGCGUCGGUGUUUCUGGCGUUGCUGAUGCUGCGCACAAAGCUGGAGCUGCCCAAGACGCCCACCUUCCCUGUGUGGACGGAUGCCCUGCGGUACUACACCAAGUCGGAGGUGCAAGAGUUCCGCGACUGCGCGGAGGUCAUCCUAGAUUAUGUGAACUACGUUCCCACGACCAAGUAUCAGGCGGUGCGCCGCAAGUACAACAGCAGCCGCUACAUGGAAAUCUCCAAAAUGCUGAUGCCUAACGAGCUGCCGACGCUGUGAGGAAGCGGAGGCAGCACGGCUGAGGCGCAUUGACGCGGGCUUGGCGGCCUCGCUGUGUCUGUGCGUGCACGGAAGUGAAUGCUGUACGCAUGUUCUUUUCACCCCUGACCCCCUUUGUUCGUUGGUGUGUGUGUGUGUGUGUGUCGGUGGGCAGCAAUACGAAGGCCGCUGCGGUUAGAUUAUGUUAGAUCCUCGCCUUUCCUGUAGCGAUGUUCUCCUUUUAAAAUCUUUUUUUUUUGUGUGUGGGCGCGCAUGCACUCUUUCGGACGCCAGCAAGAUACCCCUCACAUCCAUCAGCGAGCAACGGUGUGUACGUUGUCGGGGCGUUGCUUUGCGUGUGUGCUUGUCUGCUCAGACUUUUUUUUUUCGGGUGCAGUGCCCCGUAGGGCCCUCCCCCUCCUCCCUCCGUUCUCGGUGCUUGCCCCGAGCUUUUUUCUCUGUCGUGGCUGAUGUCUUCGGCUCUUCUCCCUCUUUUGAUUUCUAUGCCCUUGGCACGUAGCACAGGGCUGCGCAGAACACGCGGACACACCUCAGAUGGAAACGCGCUUGCACAAGUGCGUUCCCGGCGACGAAAACCAGACGCAUGCCACACAAACAACGUACCUUACCCUCCCUUCCUCCCCUCGUCAGCCACAUGUAUAUUGUGAGCGUUUUGUGUCUCUCUCUCGCUCGUAUUACGGCUCUUUGUAUCAUGGGCCGCUGUCUCUGUGGCCGAUGCGCGCACCAACACGCCGCACCCUGUGAUGCGCACACGCACAGACGUGCACCCACUCACGUGGGCUCGUCGCCUUUUUCUUUCGAUUUCUUUGUCUACCUUUGUUUCUCCCCACCUUCCUGUUGCGGUCUGUCGAUGACCAGCGAUGAUGUGAGCGUGCAUGCCCCUUCCGCGUUGCUCGUGAAUGCCCAUGCGCCGAAAAAACCAGACCGACCCACAAACACACACACACACACACACGGAGUGCCAUACAUACAGAUGCCAGCGAUCGCAGCGGGUUGCUCCUCUCCAUGUAUGUGCUUGAGAUGUGUCCGCGUGCGAGCUGCACCCACGCCCCUGUGUGCGUGCCGGUGUGUGAGGGAGAACGGCCUUCAACAACCUUUUUUUUGUUUUGUACUCGAUGGCUCGUAGCUCAGAAACCGCCGUGUCUUCCUCGAAGAAAAAAGAAAGCAACGCGCUGCAAAUCAACGCAGCGAGAGCCCAUGAGGUACGUCCGUUACGACGCCAGAUGCUCCAGCGGUGCGAGGGCGCGUGCGUCGGUGCGCGAUGGCGGGGAGAUGCUGUGCCGGUGCAGCGCUGCACUCAGCACGUUUCUUCUUUCUGUGCGUGCUCUGCGUCUCCCGCUCUACGGUGGCGGUUGCUGGGAGGGAAGCUUCUCUUGUUCUCUCGCUGGCCACUGAGGAUCGCUUGAAGCACCCGAGGGGACUGUGAAG
Molecule: unclassified non-coding RNA, 4096 nt
Filed under: Leishmania donovani
Lineage: Eukaryota; Euglenozoa; Kinetoplastea; Trypanosomatida; Trypanosomatidae
Description: gene:LdHU3.32.4450(CDS-product:cyclin_6_putative)
Source: RNAcentral